RNAcentral lists this ribosomal RNA (305 nucleotides) under uncultured bacterium. RNAcentral describes it as "bacterial SSU rRNA". It matches the Rfam family "Bacterial small subunit ribosomal RNA", at positions 335 to 659 of the family's 1533-position model. The record is from RNAcentral.
UGCCUACGGGGCGAGCAGUGGGGGAUAUUGCACAAUGGGGGGAACCCUGAUGCGGCGACGCCGCGUGGGUGAAGAAGCGCCUCGGCGCGUAAAGCCCUGUCAGCAGGGAAGAAAAUGACGGUACCUGACUAAGAAGCCCCGGCUAACUACGUGCCAGCAGCCGCGGUAAUACGUAGGGGGCAAGCGUUAUCCGGAUUUACUGGGUGUAAAGGGAGCGUAGACGGUGCAGCAAGUCUGAUGUGAAAGGUCGGGGCCCAACCCCGGGACUGCAUUGGAAACUGUUGAACUGGAGUACAGGAGAGGUA